CCUACGGGAGGCAGCAGUGGGGAAUAUUGGGCAAUGGAGGCAACUCUUACCCAGCAAUGCCGCGUGAAUGAAGAAGGUCUUCGGAUUGUAAAGUUCUUUAAUUGGGGACGAAAAAAAUGACGGUUCCCAAUGAAUAAGCCCCGGCUACCUACGUGCCAGCAGCCGCGGUAAUACGUAGGGGGCAAGCGUUUUUCGGAAUGACUGGGCGUAAAGGGUGUGUAGGCGGUGUAGCAAGUUAGAAGUGAAAUACCUAGGGCUUAACUCAGGUGCUGCUUCUAAAACUGCUAUACUGGAGUGCAGUAGAGGAAAGUGGAACUCCUAGUGUAGCGGUGGAAUGCGUAGAUAUGAGGAGGAACACCAGUGGCGAAGGCGACUUUCUGGACUGUAACUGACGCUGAGGCACGAAAGUGUGGGUAGCAAACAGGAUUAGAUACCCCAGUAGUC
This 444-nucleotide ribosomal RNA is filed under the name uncultured bacterium. Its description in RNAcentral is "partial 16S ribosomal RNA". It matches the Rfam family "Bacterial small subunit ribosomal RNA", at positions 338 to 795 of the family's 1533-position model. The record is from RNAcentral.